Long non-coding RNA from Ipomoea nil (Japanese morning glory), 333 nucleotides. RefSeq lists it as uncharacterized. The record is from RefSeq and is a predicted model, not a curated record. The transcript is spliced from 2 exons. NCBI's taxonomy places the organism in Eukaryota, Viridiplantae, Streptophyta, Magnoliopsida, Solanales, Convolvulaceae.
AGAAAUAUCUCCAAGAAUGGCUUCUAAAGCAUUGACAUUUCUCUUCGUUAUUUGUCUCAUUCAAUAUGGUGGUUUGUUUGAGGCUGAGGCAAGAAAUGUGGUACAUGUGUUUUGUGAAUCCGAUGAAGAGUGUCUAUACAUUUGUCCGGAUCCACUACCGGGCGUCUAUUGUGAUUUCGAGACUAACCUAUGUGUUUGUAAUGUUAAUACUUCGCUAAAAAAUCAAAUUAAAGUGUGAAAAUGGUGAAAAAACCAUUUCUUACAUUUACAAAGAGUGUGGUUUAAUAUAAUACCCCACUUAAAAUAAAUAUAAUCUACUACUCUUUGUUUGUU